CGUGUAGACUGCAUCAAUUUCCACCACUGUGAAGGUAUGAUUAGCCAGGGAAAAAAACAGCUCAUCAUUGAGAGCAGCGUUGAUGAUUCUUAACAGAACAUGGAAAAAGAGGCCCUGGCUUUCCGUUGAUUGUAUGGGCAUCAGACAUAUUAGGAGGUAUGCCCAAGGCGUUUCCUUGUUUCUCGACUUCUUCAACAUCAGCAUUCCACCAUUCUCCUGCAGCAUGAUCAAAUGAAGCAACCGCAUGUUUUAUUCAUGCUUUUCCAUAAAAGAAGGUCAACAAAUUUCUGGGUCGAAUUCUAUAUAUACUAAUGAACGCCACACUCACCUAGUACAAGUACUUCUUCCCUAUCUGGUUGAGGGAAAGGGAAGGGAGUUCCUUGCUGUGGCAUGAUCACUAUAGCACCAUAGACUGUUGCUCUUAGCCAAAGAAUGUGUGCAUGCCACCAUAAGGUUCCUCUUUGUCAUGUUAUAUUGAAGUCAUAAACAUAGCUAUUUCCUGUCUGAAUAGGGCACUGAGUUAUGUAAGCUGGCCCGUCUGCCCAACCAUUGCGAUAUUGUUUCAAUCCAUGCCUGCAAGAAUCAGAAUAAAAACAUCCUGUUUGAGCCUCUAACAUUUGACAGACUUCAAAAUGUUUUGCAAUUUUUAUCAGAAUUCACUGUUGUUACCAGUGAAUGGACAAGUUAUAUUGUGCAUAGUUAGUAACGUUGAUUUGAA
Nicotiana tabacum (common tobacco) is the source of this 718-nucleotide non-coding RNA. Lineage: Eukaryota; Viridiplantae; Streptophyta; Magnoliopsida; Solanales; Solanaceae. The record is from RefSeq and is a predicted model, not a curated record.